UAUUUCAUCUGAAAUCCCAGCAGAGUCAGAAGAGAUCCACAUGGCGGAAUGGUGAUUUAAGUAACUCUCUUGUGGUGUCAUUGCAAGGCUUCGAUUGUAACUUGCCCUUUUCAGCAUGGAACACAGAAAGUGCCUGAUGCUUGGGCGAUGUCACAGAGGGACACAGCCAUGAAGCCCAAACAGCCCGAGACAGGCUAUCAUGUAGUUUCCUCAGCUCUCGCCAAGGCCUGCUGAAGAAAGGCAGGCAGCUGCCGGCCCAUCUGGCUAGCCUUAAUCCUGUAGUCAAAACUGUGUAGGAAAAUGAGCUCAAACAUGAACGUGACCACUCAACAGGAUGAAGGUUUUCUCUGGGGAGUGACAGGCUGCCUAAACAUCCCUGUUUUCUGGAAGCUGGUACCUCUCCUGGUCUACACUUCAAGAGAAGAGCCCCUUCAUCACAAGGACAAAGAGACACAUCUCUUCUUCCCUGGAUAUUUUUGACAUAAGAGCCGAACAGCUGGACUUGAAGUCUGAAGUAGGGAAGGCAAUCGGUGGGUCAGGCCUCGUUGUUGGUGUGUGUGUGUGUGUACCACUGCCGACCCCGCAGAGCCGUGGACUAGAAGAAGAACUUAGAUGAGGAUCAAUCUAAAGCUCUUCUCAACUCUGAAGCAACCUCGGGGGACAAGUGCAGCUGUGUUGUGCUGUGAUCAAUACCGGUGACCACUCCAGAAGGCCAUCUUGAUUCCCCAGGUAGCAGAAUGCCAUCAGGCAGGAUGAAGCUGAAAGACCUUGGACCGGUUAAAUUGGACUGUCAACUUGAAGGGGUUUAGAACGAACAUGGAAACAAAUCUGAGUGCAUUCCUAGGUUAAGUUAACCAAGGUGGGAGGACUCCCUGUGGAUGUGGGUAGUCCCCUUCCUGCGGGAGGAUCAGGGCAACCUGCAGAGCAGGAGAAACUGACUUGGGCACCAGCUCCCCCUCCUCCCCACACCCCCACAUUGUGGAUGCAAUGUGACCAGAUCAUUCAUACCCAGUGGUCAUAUCUUCUCUGCCAUGAUGUACUUACUGCACUCUCAAACUCUGAGCCCUAAUAAACCCUUCCUUAAGUUGUU
Molecule: non-coding RNA, 1090 nt
Organism: Peromyscus maniculatus bairdii (prairie deer mouse)
Lineage: Eukaryota; Metazoa; Chordata; Mammalia; Rodentia; Cricetidae
Source: RefSeq, a predicted model, not a curated record